UUUCCGUAGGUGAACCUGCGGAAGGAUCAUUAUUGUAUAACCGAGGUGCGAGUGCUGUCGCUGACCCGACAGGUCGUGCACGCCCGAGUGCCCUCACACACAUCCAUCUCACCCCUAUGUGCACCACCGCGUGGGUCCCCCUUUGGCUUGUUCGGAGGGGGGCUUACGUUUUCACACAAACUUUGUAUGCAGUGUAGAAUGUAUUUUUUGUUUUUGCGAUCACGCAAUCAAUACAACUUUCAACAACGGAUCUCUUGGCUCUC
RNAcentral lists this unclassified non-coding RNA (263 nucleotides) under plant metagenome. Its description in RNAcentral is "partial contains small subunit ribosomal RNA, internal transcribed spacer 1, and 5.8S ribosomal RNA". The record is from RNAcentral.